Molecule: ribosomal RNA, 781 nt
Filed under: Clostridioides difficile
Lineage: Bacteria; Bacillati; Bacillota; Clostridia; Peptostreptococcales; Peptostreptococcaceae
Description: bacterial LSU rRNA
Rfam family: Bacterial large subunit ribosomal RNA
Source: RNAcentral
GGGAGUGAAAUAGAACCUGAAACCCUGCACUUACAAGCUGUGGAAGCACAUUUCUUGUGUGACCGCGUACUUUUUGUAGAACGGGCCAACGAGUUACGUUAAGUAGCAAGGUUAAGCACUUAAGGUGCGGAGCCGUAGCUAACGCGAGUUUUAACUGAGCGUUCAGUUACUUGACGUAGACCCGAAACCGGGCGACCUACCCAUGAGCAGGAUGAAGCGAAAGUAAAAUUGCGUGGAGGUCCGAACCCACGAGCGUUGAAAAGCUCGGGGAUGACUUGUGGGUAGCGGUGAAAUUCCAAUCGAGCCCGGAGAUAGCUGGUUCUCCCCGAAAUAGCUUUAGGGCUAGCCUCAAGGUGAGAGAGACGGAGGUAGAGCACUGAAUGUCCUAGGGGGUAUUGCACCUACCGAAGACUAUCAAACUCCGAAUGCCGUCAUCUUAUACUUGGGAGUCAGACUGUGGGUGAUAAGAUUCAUAGUCGAAAGGGCAACAGCCCAGAUCGUCAGCUAAGGUCCCUAAAUGUAAGUUAAGUGGUAAAGGAUGUGGGAUUGCACAGACAACCAGGAUGUUGGCUUAGAAGCAGCCACUCAUUCAAAGAGUGCGUAAUAGCUCACUGGUCGAGUGAUCCUGCGCCGAAGAUUUCCGGGGCUAAAACUUACUACCGAAGCUACGGCAUCAGUAAUGAUGGGUAGGGGAGCUUCCCAUACGGGUUGAAGCAUGACCGUAAGGACAUGUGGACAGUAUGGGAGUGAGAAUGUUGGCAUGAGUAGCGAGAUGUGGGUG